GAUGAACGCUAGCGACAGGCUUAACACAUGCAAGUCGAACGGGCUCAUAUUGAAACCUAGUGAUGUAUGAGUUAGUGGCGGACGGGUGAGUAACGCGUGGAGAACCUGCCGUAUACUGGGGGAUAACACUUAGAAAUAGGUGCUAAUACCGCAUAAGCGCACAGCUUCGCAUGAAGCAGUGUGAAAAACUCCGGUGGUAUACGAUGGAUCCGCGUCUGAUUAGCUGGUUGGCGGGGUAACAGCCCACCAAGGCGACGAUCAGUAGCCGGCCUGAGAGGGUGAACGGCCACAUUGGGACUGAGACACGGCCCAA
Molecule: ribosomal RNA, 313 nt
Filed under: uncultured bacterium
Lineage: Bacteria
Description: bacterial SSU rRNA
Rfam family: Bacterial small subunit ribosomal RNA
Source: RNAcentral